This 106-nucleotide transfer RNA is filed under the name Agaricus bisporus var. burnettii. It matches the Rfam family "tRNA". Rfam says of the family: Transfer RNA (tRNA) molecules are approximately 80 nucleotides in length. Their secondary structure includes four short double-helical elements and three loops (D, anti-codon, and T loops). Further hydrogen bonds mediate the characteristic L-shaped molecular structure. tRNAs have two regions of fundamental functional importance: the anti-codon, which is responsible for specific mRNA codon recognition, and the 3' end, to which the tRNAs corresponding amino acid is attached (by aminoacyl-tRNA synthetases). tRNAs cope with the degeneracy of the genetic code in two manners: having more than one tRNA (with a specific anti-codon) for a particular amino acid; and 'wobble' base-pairing, i.e. permitting non-standard base-pairing at the 3rd anti-codon position. Lineage: Eukaryota; Fungi; Basidiomycota; Agaricomycetes; Agaricales; Agaricaceae. The record is from Rfam by way of RNAcentral. RNAcentral also lists the same sequence under 2 other names.
GGGCGCUUGGCCUAGUGGUAUGGCGUAUGCUUUGCACCAAACAGUGCGACAAACACUGCAUGGUUAUGAUUGUAUAAGAUCACGAGUUCGAUCCUCGUAGCGUCCA